Molecule: long non-coding RNA, 666 nt
Organism: Cavia porcellus (domestic guinea pig)
Lineage: Eukaryota; Metazoa; Chordata; Mammalia; Rodentia; Caviidae
Exons: 5
Source: RefSeq, a predicted model, not a curated record
GACACAGCAUGAAGGCAUCAUUUAGCAGAGAUCAACCUUCGUUAGAAAGCAAACUUCCUGGUGCCUUGAUUUUGGACUUUCUAGACUCCAGAACUAUCCUAUAGAGCGAUGGUGGGACGCUGAGAAAAUUCGUGGACUCUUUUUCCAAACCCUUGGAGUUCAUUCUGCCAAUGUGAUGACCCUGAAUGUGCAGCUUUCAAAAGCCCAAGAGACUCCAGCACUGUUAAUUCACUGCUAAACGAUUCCAAGCUGCUUCCACGUGAAUGAGAAUCAAUCUAAGGUUUUGAAAAAGGAGACGCUGGAAGGAAGGAAGGAAGCUCUGAGACCAACGUCAGUCCAGCAUUCUCUUUACAACGAAUUAGAGGAAACAAAAACUGAAAGGAAGUCAGGGUCCAGCAGACGUGAUGGAGACCUGACCUAGCUCCAGAUUAUGGCCAGCACGAACUAUUGGGAUCAACAGGUGAAAGUAAUGAUUUUUAAUAAUAAAUUCUGCUAUAGUUUCCAGACAAGAGAAAGAUCAACUAAAACACAGAGGCUACAAAAAUGAGGAACCUGAACCGACUUCAGUGUCUUAUUUAUGGAUUUUAAGGCUUUAAUAAAGUUACAACCUUUUGGUGGCAAUUGUGUCUGUCCUCAUUCUAGUAUGCCUUCAGUAACCCACCAGAU